Molecule: ribosomal RNA, 442 nt
Filed under: uncultured bacterium
Lineage: Bacteria
Description: partial 16S ribosomal RNA
Rfam family: Bacterial small subunit ribosomal RNA
Source: RNAcentral
CCUACGGGUGGCAGCAGUGGGGGAUAUUGCACAAUGGGGGAAACCCUGAUGCAGCGACGCCGCGUGGGCGAAGAAGUAUUUCGGUAUGUAAAGCCCUAUCAGCAGGGAAGACGAAAUGACGGUCCCUGCGUAAGAAGCACCGCCUAAAUCCGUGCCAGCAGCCGCGGUAAUACGAAGGGGGACAGCGUUAUCCGGAUUUACUGGGUUUAAAGGGGGCGCAGCCGGCAAGGCAAGCCUGAUGUGAAAGCCCGCGGCCCAACCGGGGGACUGCAUUGGGAACUACCGGGCUGGAGUGCCGGAGAGGUAGGCGGAAUUCCUAGUGUAGCGGUGAAAUGCGUAGAUAUUAGGAGGAACACCAGUGGCGAAGGCGGCCUACUGGACGGUGACUGACGCUGAGGCUCGAAAGCGUGGGGAGCAAACAGGAUUAGAUACCCCAGUAGUC